RNAcentral lists this ribosomal RNA (534 nucleotides) under uncultured bacterium. RNAcentral's name for it is "partial 16S ribosomal RNA". It matches the Rfam family "Bacterial small subunit ribosomal RNA", at positions 355 to 883 of the family's 1533-position model. The record is from RNAcentral.
UGGGGAAUUUUGGACAAUGGGCGAAAGCCUGAUCCAGCAAUGCCGCGUGUGUGAAGAAGGCCUUCGGGUUGUAAAGCACUUUUGUCCGGAAAGAAAUCCUUGGCUCUAAUACAGUCGGGGGAUGACGGUACCGGAAGAAUAAGCACCGGCUAACUACGUGCCAGCAGCCGCGGUAAUACGUAGGGUGCAAGCGUUAAUCGGAAUUACUGGGCGUAAAGCGCGCGCAGGCGGUUUGCUAAGACCGAUGUGAAAUCCCCGGGCUCAACCUGGGAACUGCAUUGGUGACUGGCAGGCUAGAGUAUGGCAGAGGGGGGUAGAAUUCCACGUNUAGCAGUGAAAUGCGUAGAGAUGUGGAGGAAUACCGAUGGCGAAGGCAGCCCCCUGGGCAAUACUGACGCUCAUGCACGAAAGCGUGGGGAGCAAACAGGAUUAGAUACCCUGGUAGUCCACGCCCUAAACGAUGUCAACUAGUUGUUGGGGAUUCAUUUCCUUAGUAACGUAGCUAACGCGUGAAGUUGACCGCCUGGGGAGUAC